RNAcentral lists this ribosomal RNA (373 nucleotides) under uncultured bacterium. RNAcentral describes it as "bacterial SSU rRNA". It matches the Rfam family "Bacterial small subunit ribosomal RNA", at positions 790 to 1167 of the family's 1533-position model. The record is from RNAcentral.
GUAGUCCACGCCCUAAACGAUGAUUACUAGAUGUGUGCAAUAUACCGUACGCGUCACAGCUAAAGCGUUAAGUAAUCCACCUGGGGAGUACGGCCGCAAGGCUGAAACUCAAAGGAAUUGACGGGGGCCCGCACAAGCGGAGGAGCAUGUGGUUUAAUUCGAUGAUACGCGAGGAACCUUACCAGGGCUUGAAAGUUAAGGAAUGUCGUAGAAAUAUGACAGUCAGCAAUGACCUAAAACUAGGUGCUGCAUGGCCGUCGUCAGCUCGUGCCGUGAGGUGUUGGGUUAAGUCCCGCAACGAGCGCAACCCCUAUCAUUAGUUGCCAACAGGUUAAGCUGGGGACUCUAAUGAGACUGCCCGCGUAAGCGGUGA